ACCACCAUGCCCAGCCAAUUUAAUGGACACUUAACUUAUCCAUAACCCCUCCAGUUAUUAUGCCAUACCAGUAUAUAACUGGCUGAAGAUUAAUCACAUUUUGCAGAACGUGAGCCAUGGUGAUGGAAGCCUCUUCCAAACCAAAGUGCUUAAUAAGUGCUCGUGAGGACCAUACAAUGUGGAAGGAACCUGGGUCCCUGAAAAUUCCCACAGAAGGCUACUGACCAAGAAAUCUUUCAAAAGACUAUGACAGGAGCAAAAACUACAUUUUUAUUGGGUUAAACUACAGAGAUUUCUGGGUGUAUCUGUUACAGCAACUGGUGUUAAUUAAACAGAGAAGAGCACCGUUCCAUUUUCUCUUUAAGGUUGGAG
Long non-coding RNA from Homo sapiens (human), 372 nucleotides. RefSeq lists it as uncharacterized. The transcript is spliced from 2 exons. Lineage: Eukaryota; Metazoa; Chordata; Mammalia; Primates; Hominidae. The record is from RefSeq and is a predicted model, not a curated record.